This 1499-nucleotide long non-coding RNA is filed under the name Coturnix japonica (Japanese quail). RNAcentral's name for it is "lncRNA (ENSCJPG00005015308.1)". Lineage: Eukaryota; Metazoa; Chordata; Aves; Galliformes; Phasianidae. The record is from RNAcentral.
CACAGCAGUGGCAGGGUUCUGGGAUCAAACAUCAACCCAGCCUGGCAGGAGCCUGAUGUAAUGGGUGCAGGCAUGCAGGGUUAUGUGGGCAGAGUACAUGCGUGCCUCCUCCUUGAACCACAGCUCAGCACCGGUCAGUGAUGACAACACCUAAUGAGUUCACAAAAAGUUGCAAAUAAGUGAAUUUGUGCGAAGUCCCUCUCACGCUUGAGCCACUAAGUUGCAUCCCAUGUAGUAAGACUGCAGGGACCUGAUGGUGCUGAGAUGUUGCUACCAGAAAACUCAACUAUGUCUGUGAGCUCAGAAAGCACUACAGAUGGUCUCUGUUUUGGGAACUGUAACCUCAAGUGUAAUGUGUGCUAGCUGAUCUCGAGCAAUCUUAUUGCUUAUGGCUGUGAAUGAAGAACAACGUGCUUUCAAAUCCCACACAAACCACGGUGUGUACUAACUCUCAAGAGCCAUCUGCAAGAUCCAGAGCCUUGGACUUGGCAGUGGAGCCUCCUGUGAAUAACUGGUCCAAGCCAGGAGUGGAGAUUUUCUGGUCGUACUUUUAUGUUCCUAAUAUUUCUAUGAAAAACUGGCAUGAUUCUGACAUGUAUCCCGUACUCGUAUCCCUCAACUGGUGAUGAUAAACCUUCAAGAGCAGAAUGAAAUAGUGAUGACUGCUGUAACUGUUGCACAGCCAAGUGGUAAGAACCAAUAUUUUUAGCUAUGUUUAAGUUGUCAGGCAUUCACUUGGUCUGGCAAUAUUUUCAACAUCUCCUUUUGUAAGUAACUGGGAAAGUUACUGUGUAUUUAUAAGCCAGCCAACUAUUAAUAUAUCAAACAAAAUUAUAUACUUUUCACUUAAGAAAAACAUACAUAUUGAACAUGCUUUAGUGAACUCUGACUGGGGCAUUAUUUGUGCUAGAAACAAUUACUAUUUAGUUUUGUAACAGCUGGAUAUUGCCAGACUGUUGGAAAGUAUUGAAAAUAUUGUGUUGGAUGAAGAACAGAAUUAGUGGGGGAUAAAUACCUAAGCUAAUAUUGACACCUAAGUUGAUGCCAUUUGAGCCUUUGGUACUACAUCCUACAAUUAGACAUUACACUCACAUACUUGUUAGUCUCGUGUUUAAACAAGGUAUCUUCUAUACGAAGCUGUAUAUAUACUGUUCACAGUAGGGAAACACAAGGCAGUAGUCAGCAAACAGCAUUUAUACCUUAGAGCCUGUGGGGCCUUUAGGACCAUAUAACGUGUACCUGUUCUCUAAGUUACUGACUGCUUACAGCCAAAGCGUUCUGAUGCUGCUAAGUUUAAUGUGAUCAGUAGCAGAAAUAGCAACCUGAAAAUCAACCAUAAAGCAUUGCCUGUGGAAAAAGAUGGUGCACGCAUCACCCAGCGCUGAGCCCGGCACUACAUAUUUGCCUUUGGUUCAUUGACAAUUUCUGGAGGCCAAUUUUGGUGCUGUUGCAUUAGCAGGAUAUCUUUUUAAGCAGAAUAAAUGCUGCUGUUCUUCACA